UACGUAGGGGGCAAGCGUUGUCCGGAUUUAUUGGGCGUAAAGAGCGUGUAGGCGGUUUGGUAGGUCCGUUGUGAAAACUCGAGGCUCAACCUCGAGACGCCGAUGGAAACCAUCAGACUAGAGUCCGGAAGAGGAGAGUGGAAUUCCUGGUGUAGCGGUGAAAUGCGCAGAUAUCAGGAAGAACACCCGUGGCUAAGGCGGCUCUCUAGUAGCGGUACUGACGCUGAGACGCGAAAAGCGUGGGGAUCAAACAGG
Molecule: ribosomal RNA, 255 nt
Filed under: uncultured bacterium
Lineage: Bacteria
Description: partial 16S ribosomal RNA
Rfam family: Bacterial small subunit ribosomal RNA
Source: RNAcentral